CCUACGGGCGACAGCAGUGGGGGAUAUUGGACAAUGGGGGAAACCCUGAUCCAGCGACGCCGCGUGAGUGAAGAAGUAUUUCGGUAUGUAAAGCUCUAUCAGCAGGGAAGAAAGAAAUGACGGUACCUGAGUAAGAAGCCCCGGCUAACUACGUGCCAGCAGCCGCGGGAAUACGUAGGGGGCAAGCGUUAUCCGGAAUUACUGGGUGUAAAGGGAGCGUAGACGGUAAUGCAAGUCUGGAGUGAAAGGCGGGGGCCCAACCCCCGGACUGCUCUGGAAACUGUGUAACUGGAGUGCAGGAGAGGCAGGCGGAAUUCCUAGUGUAGCGGUGAAAUGCGUAGAUAUUAGGAGGAACACCAGUGGCGAAGGCGGCCUGCUGGACUGUACCUGACGUUGAGGCUCGAAAGUGUGGGGAGCAAACAGGAGUAGAUACCCCGGUAGUC
This 443-nucleotide ribosomal RNA is filed under the name uncultured bacterium. RNAcentral's name for it is "partial 16S ribosomal RNA". It matches the Rfam family "Bacterial small subunit ribosomal RNA", at positions 338 to 795 of the family's 1533-position model. The record is from RNAcentral.